GGGUGUAGCUCAGUGGUAGAGUGCUUACCUAGCAUGUGAGGCACUGGGUUCGAUUCUCAGCACUGCA
RNAcentral lists this transfer RNA (67 nucleotides) under Marmota monax (woodchuck). RNAcentral's name for it is "tRNA.Ala". It matches the Rfam family "tRNA", at positions 5 to 66 of the family's 71-position model. Rfam says of the family: Transfer RNA (tRNA) molecules are approximately 80 nucleotides in length. Their secondary structure includes four short double-helical elements and three loops (D, anti-codon, and T loops). Further hydrogen bonds mediate the characteristic L-shaped molecular structure. tRNAs have two regions of fundamental functional importance: the anti-codon, which is responsible for specific mRNA codon recognition, and the 3' end, to which the tRNAs corresponding amino acid is attached (by aminoacyl-tRNA synthetases). tRNAs cope with the degeneracy of the genetic code in two manners: having more than one tRNA (with a specific anti-codon) for a particular amino acid; and 'wobble' base-pairing, i.e. permitting non-standard base-pairing at the 3rd anti-codon position. The record is from RNAcentral. Lineage: Eukaryota; Metazoa; Chordata; Mammalia; Rodentia; Sciuridae.